This 254-nucleotide ribosomal RNA is filed under the name uncultured bacterium. RNAcentral's name for it is "partial 16S ribosomal RNA". It matches the Rfam family "Bacterial small subunit ribosomal RNA", at positions 524 to 776 of the family's 1533-position model. The record is from RNAcentral.
UACGUAGGUGGCGAGCGUUGUCCGGAUUUACUGGGCGUAAAGAGCGCGCAGGCGGUCGUGCAAGUCGCGUGUGAAAGCCCCCCGGCUCAACUGGGGAGGGUCACGCGAUACUGUUCGACUCGAAGGCAGGAGAGGGAAGUGGAAUUCCCGGUGUAGUGGUGAAAUGCGUAGAUAUCGGGAGGAACACCAGUGGCGAAGGCGACUUCCUGGCCUGUUCUUGACGCUGAGGCGCGAAAGCUAGGGUAGCAAACGGG